CUUUGGCUCAGUAGGUAGUGCAUCAGUCUCUCAAACUGAAGGUCCCCAGUGCAUCCUGGGAAG
RNAcentral lists this transfer RNA (63 nucleotides) under Monodelphis domestica (gray short-tailed opossum). It matches the Rfam family "tRNA", at positions 5 to 66 of the family's 71-position model. From Rfam's summary of the family: Transfer RNA (tRNA) molecules are approximately 80 nucleotides in length. Their secondary structure includes four short double-helical elements and three loops (D, anti-codon, and T loops). Further hydrogen bonds mediate the characteristic L-shaped molecular structure. tRNAs have two regions of fundamental functional importance: the anti-codon, which is responsible for specific mRNA codon recognition, and the 3' end, to which the tRNAs corresponding amino acid is attached (by aminoacyl-tRNA synthetases). tRNAs cope with the degeneracy of the genetic code in two manners: having more than one tRNA (with a specific anti-codon) for a particular amino acid; and 'wobble' base-pairing, i.e. permitting non-standard base-pairing at the 3rd anti-codon position. Lineage: Eukaryota; Metazoa; Chordata; Mammalia; Didelphimorphia; Didelphidae. The record is from Rfam by way of RNAcentral.